Molecule: ribosomal RNA, 442 nt
Filed under: uncultured bacterium
Lineage: Bacteria
Description: partial 16S ribosomal RNA
Rfam family: Bacterial small subunit ribosomal RNA
Source: RNAcentral
CCUACGGGUGGCAGCAGUAGGGAAUCUUUCACAAUGGGCGAAAGCCUGAUGGAGCAACGCCGCGUGCAGGAUGAAGGCCUUCGGGUUGUUAACCGCUUUUAUAAGCGAGAAAUAUGAUGGUAACUUAUGAAUAUGGAUCGUCUAACUACGUGCCAGCAGCCGUGGCCAUACGGAGGAUCCGAGCAUAAUCCGGAGUGACUGGGUGUAAUGAGGUGCGUAGGUGGCAUAAUUAGUAGCUAGUGAAAUUGGGUGGCUCAACCAUUCAGACUAUUAGCUAAACUGUUAAGCUCGAGACCGUUAGGGGCAUGUGGAAUUACUAGUGUAGGAGUGAAAUGCGUAGAUAUUAGAAGGAACACCAAUAGCGUAGGCAGGAUGCUGGGACGGUUCUGACACUGAUGCACGAAAGCGUGGGGAGCAAACGGGAUUAGAUACCCCGGUAGUC